UAAGGUUCAGUUAAUACACCUAUCUACUUGUGACAAUUGAUGUUUUGUAGUAUUCCGACUCAAAUAUGAGAUGGGACUUUCUGGCCUUUGCUAAUUAAAAAAAGAUGAAGCAUACAUUUUGGAAAGAAUGAUGUGCUAUUUCCUGCACCUUAAAGCCAGAGGGAGUCCAGAAUAUAAAUGCAAAUUACAUGCAAAUAUACUUAGGGGACCUUCCUCUUUCUUAGAACUGAAUUCAGCUUCUGGGGAAAUAUAGAAGAGAAGUCCAAGUCUGUAUUUCCCAGGAGUUAAAUUUGAAAGUUUUCAAGAAACUUAACAUAAAUUAUCACCUUCCAUAAUAAAAUAAAAAUUGAAAUUUUCAACAUUAAUAAGUGAAAGAAGGAUCUCCACAUAAAGAUGGAGGAUGGAACUCAGGUGUGAGGAUUACAUUUCCUUGGUAGCUGUCCCUGAAUGAUAUGGCAGUGUCCACGUGAGUUGAGUGGGAGGUGAGUGGGAUACACUACCCUCUAUUGCCAUCCACCAACUUUGCACAGGAGCUCUUCCUUAAUUCUCAUAGCAUUUAUAUGAGGUGGGAGGAAAAAAACAUGGAGAGAAACAUGGAAUAAGGUUCCCUGAAUUGUUCAGCUUGGCAAAUUCUCACUUUAGGUAACUCCACUAAUCUGUUUCCGGGACCCAGGGCUUAUCCUAGCUCCUGGUCCCCUGGAAGCACCAUCAAGUACCUUGUCAGACUCUCUAAGAUAUUUUGUACUUACAAGAUCAAGGCCAACAAUAGACUGCAGUUCCUGUUUCUGCUUACCCAAGUCUACCCGUGUUACUAAGGUUGGAAUGAAUGUACACACCCCUCAGAAAUUCAUAUGUGGGAACAUGAAGUCAGGCAUGGUCCUAAGAACUAGGCCCUUUUGGAAUUGAUUAAGUCAUGAGGGCUCCACUCUCAUGAAUGGGAUUAUUGCCCUUUUAAAGAGGCUUUGGAGAACUACCUGACUAUAUUAGCUUCUUGUUGGAGGGAUCAUGACUGCAAUAGCUUCUGAGUACUGGUCAGUUGGGCAUUAGGGAACAACUACUUAGGCUCCCUUAUGCAGGGCCCCAGGAUCUUUUCUUAAAGAGGACUUCCUUUCUAUGCCCUUGAGUCUGAAAUGGGUGUGGUCUUACAAAUUCUCAAAUACCCUCAAGGCAUCUUUCCUAGUGUCACUGUGCAAAGUACUUAGCAUUUCUUUAGUAUCUAACAUCUCCUUAACAAACACAGCUUCCUUGACCCUGGUUUCACAUGCACUUUUCUGACCAAACUGAAAGUUUUUAAAAUCUCUCAGCUCCACUUUCUACUCCUGAUUUUCACAGCAAACCUGGCUAAAAACUUCCAUCAAAAUCCAUGCUGCUCCUGAAUGCUGUGCUGUCUUAAAAUUUCCUUCACCACAUUAAUUAGUCCAUCACUUUUAAAUGCAGUCACACACAAAGUCCCAGCACAUGGAUCAACGUCAACACAAGUUCUUUGCUAGAAUACAACAUGAAUGGUAUCUAGUCCAAUUCCCCAAACAAACCUCAUUCCCCUCUGAAACCACAGAACCACAGGCUUUGAUCUCUACUUUAUUAUCUUCAUUCUGAUACACUGAGUUCCUACCAGGAUUGCCAUGAAGCCCUGUUUAUAACAUUUUAAGGUUUCUCCAGCAUGCAGCUCUAUAUUCUUCCAAACUUUUCCCACAAACUAGUUCCAAAGAUUUCUGAACAACAUGGUCAGGUUAGUAAUAGCAUUGGUUCCACCUUUUCUCCUUUUUUUCCUUUUUUUCCUGCUGUGAUGAAAUUACUCAACAAGAAUAACCUAAAGGAAGAAAAGUUUAUUUGGGCUCAUAAUUUCAGAGGUUAGUCCAAGGUAGGCUGGCUCCAUUGCUCUGCACCUGAGUUAAAGCAGAACCUCCUGGUGGAAGGACCUGAUGGUGAGGUGCUGCUCUAUUCAUGGCAGCCAAAAAAACAGAGCAAAAGAGGAAGGGGUCCCAGGACAGGAAAGGCAAACCCUUCCAGGGCUCACCCCCCAGUGACCCACCUCCUCCAGCCAUGCCUCACCUGCCUACAGUUACCACCAGUUAGUCAAUUCAAACUAGGAUGGAUUGAUGAGGUUACAGCUCUCACAACCCAAUUGCCUCAUUGCCGAACAUUGCUGCAUUAAUACAGGAGUUGUAGGGGGUAUAGCUCGUACCCAAAUCAAAACACUGGCCCUUUUUUUUUCCUUUUACCAUGUAAGGAUGCAAUAUUUGUACUUUCAAGAGGACUCAGAUACAAGGUGUCAUCUUGGUAGCAAAGCCAGACUUCCACCAGACACUGCAUCUGUUGGCUCCUUGACCUUGGUCAUUAUGUGGAUGCCGGAGUGAAGAUAUUUAGCCUGGAGAGGAAAAGGGCUGUGCAUGUGUUGGGUUGCCAGCUUUAGCCAAUAGGUAUACAAGACACAGUUAGAUGUGAAUUUCAGAUAAGCAACAGAUAUCUUUAACAUGUACUAUAUAUACUUAUAUUAAGAAGUUUUUGUUAUUGUUGUUAUCUUUAAAGUUUAAAUUUAAAUAUUCUAUAUUUUAUCUUGGCAACCCCACCGAUGUGAAGGGUGGGCUAUUUUUAGCUUCUUGAAGGACUGGCAGGGGGUGGUCCCCAACUGCAUCUGGGAAUCAGUUGGGCAACUUUCCAAAACAGAGCUAAUGCCUACCUUCCAGAGAUUCUGAUUUAAUGUUUGGGUUCAGUCUGCUACUGGGCUAUUUAGAAAUCCUGCAGAUGAUUCAAAGGUAUAGCUAGGUUAACAACCACUGAGUUAGACUGAUUUAAUCUAGAGUCAAGGGGUGGUUUUUGAGCCAUUAGAGACUUGAAAUUUGUCUCUUCAUGUGCACUUUUCACAGAAGAGGUCAAGUUCUCUCAAGAGGUAAUGAGACUCCUGUCACCUUAGGUGUGUAAGUAGGGUACUGAUGAUGUCCUAAAGGUAAAUUGUUUUCAGAGGGAAUUAAAGAUGGGUGGGAGUCCAGAGGAGAGGUUAGGGAGCAGGAGCAGAACUUAGUGUUCACCAAGAUCUCUCCAACUCUGAAAUAUCAGGACUGGUUUAGUCAUUAGAUUAAAAGCUAAACGAAUCAUAGCGCGAUACACAGACAGGCAAAAGUAAAUAAAUAAAUAAUGCAUGCAACUCUGAAAAAAAAUGCAUGCAUUAAAAAAAAGGGGAAAUCCUACUAAGGUAUCUAGUGUCUAAUCGUAUUCCUGGUCUUGACGAUACAGUGCGGUUACAUAAAAUGUCCCUAUUAGUGGAAGCAGAGUAUUGGGACACAAAACCUUGCCGUGCUCUUUUGUCAACUUCAAGUGACUCUUUUGAGAUGGAAGACUUCAAAUAAAUUAAUUCACAUCAUCACACUCAAGAAUCAUUUCUCUACCAAGUCGGAGCCAUAGAUGGUGACAAGAAGGGCUCACAGCAAUGGUCCCCACAGGGCGGGGUGGAGGAGGGGGAUCUGGGGUGCUCUUUCCACUCCCUGCCUGCCUGCAGUGGGGACCUCCCCUUCUCCUGGAUUCUCCAGGCCUCUCUGCAGAUGGAGGAACCCCAGCAGCCCUUCCUGGAUCUGUUUACCAACAGAAAACCAGGCUCCUUGGUCGCACUGAAAAUAAAGAGGACCCCCGCUCUCCAGUGCAUCCAGUUCCUAGAAGGAAUCUACGUCAUCAUUUUCCAGCUUUAAUUAGCGAUACAAUGAACUAAUAAUAAAAAUGAAAGCCAAUACUGAGACGAGAUGAGAUGCCAGCCGCGGCCUGCAGUGACUCUGUUUGUGGGUGUGGAGUGUGUGUGUAUUUUUAGAUAACGACUUAUUCUGCAUGUGGUAAUUAGGGCCCCAAGGGGGUUGUGAAUUUUUCCCCCCCAGGGUUGGCAAGUGGAAGGAAGAGGCAGCUGAAAUUCCCACACAUCUGGGGCACACAGAUCCUGCACUCCAAUUUCCUGUCGGCGCCACUGGUUUCUUUCGGAAUUACUUGCUAAGUAAAUGAUUGUUAUAAGACGAUGAUUCGGUCAAUCAAAUUAACCCCUUUUGUCCAUUACCUCCCUCCCCCAGCCCAACGGUCCCCUUCAUUUGCCUAAACUCGGAGGCUCUGGACAAUGUGUUCCAGGCUGGAGGCCCCAGCCUUCUGCACAUUGGCCCCGUGUAACCUGAGCGAGAACCAGAGGCCCCAAUUGUUUUGCUAAUCAAGAUUAUUGGCCCAUUGAGAUGUGGAGGCACAGCCUGGCUGACAAAAAUUGUCAGUUUCCCAUGAAAUAGUUCUGUCAGUUUAGCCUGGGUGCUGGCAACUAUUAACAUAUAAAUGAAGUUUCUCGCUCCUUUGGCCCCCCUCACCCCCUACCCUUCAGCCACCCAUCCUAAUGGAUGCAGAGAAAAUAUAAACACACCCCCACCCCCAGCUCCCAAGCCUUCUGCAUGCUUAAGUCCCACCAGCUUCUUUUCUCCCGGAUCUGGAAAUCCUGUGGGCGAUGGGGGAGCAAAGAGAGAAGGGGAGGGGGCGGGGAGGAGUUCGUUUGUACAAAACGAUUUUUAAGGCCCCAAAGCUGCCAGGCCUCAGUCCCCUGCUGACUGCAGAGGCCGGCGGCUGGCCAAGCCUGCAAAGGUACAAAUGGCCCUCUGAAUGCCAGGGCAGACCUUCAAGGCAGCCUUCAGGGGACAAAGUGGCAAAGAGAAGCCUGGGGAUUGAAAGAGUUGUCUAGGCUCAGGGGUCAAACGCUGAGCUUUCUUGGUAGCAUGGCUGCCAGAGGCAAGGCAGGGCUGGAUGUAACUCCAAGUCGCCCUUGACUGGAUUCUGGAACAAGUCGGGCUGUGCUGCGGCCUGGGGUGGGUUUGUCUUUUUCUCACCCUAUAGUCAGGUGCCUUUUGCACAAUGGCUCAAGUUCUGAAUUAAAACUCAAGGAUGAAGGGCAAAUGUCUGUUCUUCCUGAUUCUCCUGGGAUGGAAUUAGGACCACAGGGAAGAAGACGAAAUGUU
Molecule: long non-coding RNA, 4967 nt
Filed under: Marmota monax (woodchuck)
Lineage: Eukaryota; Metazoa; Chordata; Mammalia; Rodentia; Sciuridae
Source: RNAcentral